Molecule: unclassified non-coding RNA, 332 nt
Filed under: Hevea brasiliensis (rubber tree)
Lineage: Eukaryota; Viridiplantae; Streptophyta; Magnoliopsida; Malpighiales; Euphorbiaceae
Source: RNAcentral
GGUUCAGCUUUUAAAGCAAAAACAAAAGAGUGAUGAUGCAGCAAAGCGCUUGCAAGAUGAGAUACAAUCAAUCAAGGCACAGAAGGUACAGUUGCAGCAUAAAAUUAAACAAGAGGCUGAACAAUUUCGUCAGUGGAAGGCAUCGCGGGAGAAAGAGUUACUGCAGUUAAAGAAGGAAGGAAGAAGGAAUGAGUAUGAGAGACAUAAAUUGCUAGCUUUAAAUCAACGACAAAAGAUGGUUCUUCAAAGAAAGACGGAGGAGGCUGCUAUGGCAACCAAGAGACUAAAAGAAUUGCUAGAAGCGCGUAAAUCUUCUGGUCGCGAGAACUCAG